UAGGGAAUCUUCGGCAAUGGACGAAAGUCUGACCGAGCAACGCCGCGUGAGUGAUGAAGGUUUUCGGAUCGUAAAACUCUGUUGCCAGGGAAGAAUGGCCGAGAGAGUAACUGCUCUUGGUAUGACGGUACCUGAGAAGAAAGCCCCGGCUAACUACGUGCCAGCAGCCGCGGUAAUACGUAGGGGGCAAGCGUUGUCCGGAAUUAUUGGGCGUAAAGCGCGCGCAGGCGGUCGAUUAAGUCUGGUGUAUAAACCAAGGGCUCAACCUUUGGUCGCAUUGGAAACUGGUCGACUGGAGUGUAGGAGAGGAAAGUGGAAUUCCACGUGUAGCGGUGAAAUGCGUAGAGAUGUGGAGGAACACCAGUGGCGAAGGCGACUUUCUGGCCUAUAACUGACGCUGAGGCGCGAAAGCGUGGGGAGCAAACA
RNAcentral lists this ribosomal RNA (426 nucleotides) under uncultured Paenibacillus sp. RNAcentral describes it as "bacterial SSU rRNA". It matches the Rfam family "Bacterial small subunit ribosomal RNA", at positions 355 to 774 of the family's 1533-position model. Lineage: Bacteria; Bacillati; Bacillota; Bacilli; Caryophanales; Paenibacillaceae. The record is from RNAcentral.